GACGAACGCUGGCGGCGUGCUUAACACAUGCAAGUCGAACGGAAAGGCCCUGCUUUUGUGGGGUGCUCGAGUGGCGAACGGGUGAGUAACACGUGAGUAACCUGCCCUUGACUUUGGGAUAACUUCAGGAAACUGGGGCUAAUACCGGAUAGGAGCUCCUGCUGCAUGGUGGGGGUUGGAAAGUUUCGGCGGUUGGGGAUGGACUCGCGGCUUAUCAGCUUGUUGGUGGGGUAGUGGCUUACCAAGGCUUUGACGGGUAGCCGGCCUGAGAGGGUGACCGGCCACAUUGGGACUGGGAUACGGCCCAGACUCCUACGGGAGGCAGCAGUGGGGAAUAUUGCACAAUGGGCGGAAGCCUGAUGCAGCAACGCCGCGUGCGGGAUGACGGCCUUCUGGUUGUAAACCGCUUUCGCCUGUGACGAAGCGUGAGUGACGGUAAUGGGUAAAGAAGCACCGGCUAACUACGUG
RNAcentral lists this ribosomal RNA (468 nucleotides) under uncultured bacterium. Its description in RNAcentral is "partial 16S ribosomal RNA". It matches the Rfam family "Bacterial small subunit ribosomal RNA", at positions 28 to 507 of the family's 1533-position model. The record is from RNAcentral.